CCAGACUCCUACGGGAGGCAGCAGUGGGGAAUAUUGCACAAUGGGGGGAACCCUGAUGCAGCGACGCCGCGUGAAGGAUGAAGUAUUUCGGUACGUAAACUUCUAUCAGCAGGGAAGAAAAUGACGGUACCUGACUAAGAAGCCCCGGCUAACUACGUGCCAGCAGCCGCGGUAAUACGUAGGGGGCAAGCGUUAUCCGGAUUUACUGGGUGUAAAGGGAGCGUAGACGGGCCAGCAAGUCUGAUGUGAAAACCCGGGGCCCAACCCCGGGAGUGCAUUGGAAACUGCGGGCCUGGAGUGCCGGAGAGGUAAGCGGAAUUCCUAGUGUAGCGGUGAAAUGCGUAGAUAUUAGGAGGAACACCAGUGGCGAAGGCGGCUUACUGGACGGUAACUGACGUUGAGGCUCGAAAGCGUGGGGAGCAAACAGGAUUAGAUACCCCAGUA
Molecule: ribosomal RNA, 444 nt
Filed under: uncultured bacterium
Lineage: Bacteria
Description: bacterial SSU rRNA
Rfam family: Bacterial small subunit ribosomal RNA
Source: RNAcentral